Molecule: ribosomal RNA, 265 nt
Filed under: uncultured archaeon
Lineage: Archaea
Description: partial 16S ribosomal RNA
Rfam family: Archaeal small subunit ribosomal RNA
Source: RNAcentral
ACACGACUACAUUAGAUACCCGCGUAGUCCUAGCCGUAAACGAUACUCGCUAGGUGUCGGCCACGGUGCGACCGUUGUCGGUGCCGUAGGGAAGCCGUGAAGCGAGCCACCUGGGAAGUACGGCCACAAGGCUGAAACUUAAAGGAAUUGGCGGGGGAGCACCACAACGGGUGGAGCUUGCGGUUUAACUGGAUUCAACGCCGGAAAUCUUACCGGGACCGACAGCAACAUGAAGGCCAGGCUGAAGACUUUGCCGGAUUAGCUG